UACAGAGGGUGCGAGCGUUAAUCGGAAUUACUGGGCGUAAAGCGCACGUAGGCGGCUUGGUAUGUCGGGUGUGAAAUCCCCGGGCUCAACCUGGGAACUGCAUCCGAAACUGCCUUGCUAGAGUAUGGGAGAGGGAAGUGGAAUUUCCGGUGUAGCGGUGAAAUGCGUAGAUAUCGGAAGGAACAUCAGUGGCGAAGGCGACUUCCUGGACCAAUACUGACACUGAGGAGCGAAAGCCAGGGGAGCAAACGGG
This 253-nucleotide ribosomal RNA is filed under the name uncultured bacterium. Its description in RNAcentral is "partial 16S ribosomal RNA". It matches the Rfam family "Bacterial small subunit ribosomal RNA", at positions 524 to 776 of the family's 1533-position model. The record is from RNAcentral.